AAAUAAAAAUGACCAAUCGUACCAAAAAAUGACCAAAAUAAAUAAGUCUAGAAUCGUUUUUUUUUUUUUAACAGAACAAUUAAUUCAUCACAUUUAUUUUUUCAUAUUGUGUGUACAUAAAUACAUAUUACACAAUACAUAUAUCACAUAUUAUUUUUAGUUAUUAGUAGGAAUUAAAAAACAAAAACAAAAAAAAACUAAACAAUAAAAAACAGGUAGGUACAAAAAUAAUUCACGAGUAUGUACCUCACAAACUUAACUUAAUUAGAUUAACUAAAAUAAAUAAAUAAUACAAAAUAAAUAGUUACUUCUAACAUAAUUUAAAAUUAAAAUCACAAUAUGUUCACAUUAUGAUAAGAGAUUGCAUAUUUUCGCUAUAUAAAACUUGUAUGUAAUUAAUUAAAAACAUGUUUUUGCAGACCAAACGCUGUGGUUAUUUUUAACAUCUUGAAGCUCUUUUGCCAGCAUUAUAUUAUUGAUGGCAUCAAAAUUAAGCCUGUUUCUUAAUUUGGUUUUUAUCAAACUUAAUUCAAAAAAUUUUCUCUCAGCAGCAGCCGAGCUAUGAGGAAGUGACAUCAAGUUAUAAACGAAAUUACUUAAAUUUUUAAAACAAUAUUCAUUUAAACCAUUUUUAAGAUAACUGACCUUUUGCCAAAAUUCUGAUAUGUCCAUUAUUUCCCUAAGAUUAUGAUCAUUAGAAAAUCUUAGCAUUUUCCACUCCAUGACCAAAUCUUCUGGAUCACCCUGAACCAAGUAAGAAAAACUGUUCAUUAAAGGUAAUAGUGGCACAUCAGAAUCCGACAAAACACUUCUCGGAGUUAUUAUAGACAAGUUUUUUAAAUCAUUAUUACUCAGAUCAAAUCUUAGUAGCAAUUGUUUUAAAAGUUCUAAAUAAAAAUUCAAAGCGUUUGUUUUUAUCUCAUUCCUAUCAAAAUUUGAGAGGUUUGAUUUUUUGAUAUAAUCCUCGGCUUUGCUUCCCAGAAAAACAUUUGUAAUAGAUUUUCCCAUUGAAUUUGCUAAAUCGUAUGAUUUUAUUCCGCUAAUUUCCAAAUAGCACGAAAGAAAAUAUAAUUGAAGUGCGUCCCACUGUUCCACCACUCGAUUUAUAACGUUUUCUAAGGAGAGCCAUCUUGUCAACGAAAUACCUAAUAUUUUGUGCGGUGGUACUGCACAAUAGUCUUGAAAUUCUUUAAAGUUAUUGAUACGAUUAGCACUGCAUAGGCAGAGCAUAGAUGCAACGAAUGACAAGUGCAUUUAAGAAAAAACAUAUUGGAGUUGCUCUUAAGCUUGGCUUGCAGACCAUUCACCUCACCAGCCAUAACACUUGCACCGUCAGUUGACAGUCCAAUUAAAUUUUCAAAUGGAAUAUCAUUUUCAGAAAAAAAUGUCUUAAUGCUGUUGUAAAUGGUUUCAGCGUCACAUUUUAUAAGUUCAAUCAAACCCAAAAAUCUAUCUUUAAUAAUUUUGGAAUUCUUAUCGACAUACCUUACAACUAAAACUAAAGACUUUCUGGUUGAAAUAUCAGUCGUCUCGUCUGUUAUUAAGGAAAAUUUAGUAGUUUGCAGCUCUGAAACUAUUUUCUGCUUCGCUUUUGUUCCUAGCGUCUCUGCAAGUUGAGUUGCUUUCGUUCGUCCGCACUUGAUUGAUUUUGCAAUUUCCGAAUCGGGACAGCAUUCUUUUAGCAGAUUUGGUAAAAAAUCCAUUAAUAAAAAUGGGAGAUUGUGAGUUAUUAAAAAUUGGACGAGCGUGAGCUCAGCCCAAUAAACUUUUUUUUCAAAACUCGAUUUGUCCCGCUGCAAGCACGAAUCAAUUUGUAUUUGAUUUCUUUUUUUUUCCAUGUUUUUGAUAUGGCUUUCUUUUUUUUCAUGUUGUUUUAAGUGACCUAAAUGGUUGGUUAAAAUUUUGUCACAAGCAGCACAAAAGCUUUUGUCAGCUUUAUGGUUAAGCCAAUUGAAUUUUUGUAGCCAUUCCUGUCUAAAUUUUCUCUCCGCUUCGUGUUUUUUUUGGUCCACAUUUUGAUCACUUAGAAAUUAUACAUAGGUAAUUGUAAUUUCAUGAAACCUUA
Eupeodes corollae is the source of this 2065-nucleotide long non-coding RNA. RefSeq lists it as uncharacterized. The record is from RefSeq and is a predicted model, not a curated record. The transcript has 3 exons. Lineage: Eukaryota; Metazoa; Arthropoda; Insecta; Diptera; Syrphidae.